GGGCCCAUAGCUCAGUUGGCUAGAGCGCUUCCCUUACAAGGAAGAUGUCAUCGGUUCGAGUCCGGUUGGGCCCA
This 74-nucleotide transfer RNA is filed under the name Candidatus Nanopelagicales bacterium. RNAcentral describes it as "tRNA-Val". It matches the Rfam family "tRNA". From Rfam's summary of the family: Transfer RNA (tRNA) molecules are approximately 80 nucleotides in length. Their secondary structure includes four short double-helical elements and three loops (D, anti-codon, and T loops). Further hydrogen bonds mediate the characteristic L-shaped molecular structure. tRNAs have two regions of fundamental functional importance: the anti-codon, which is responsible for specific mRNA codon recognition, and the 3' end, to which the tRNAs corresponding amino acid is attached (by aminoacyl-tRNA synthetases). tRNAs cope with the degeneracy of the genetic code in two manners: having more than one tRNA (with a specific anti-codon) for a particular amino acid; and 'wobble' base-pairing, i.e. permitting non-standard base-pairing at the 3rd anti-codon position. Lineage: Bacteria; Bacillati; Actinomycetota; Actinomycetes; Candidatus Nanopelagicales. The record is from RNAcentral. RNAcentral also lists the same sequence under 1 other name.